Molecule: ribosomal RNA, 434 nt
Filed under: uncultured bacterium
Lineage: Bacteria
Description: partial 16S ribosomal RNA
Rfam family: Bacterial small subunit ribosomal RNA
Source: RNAcentral
AGCGAACGCUGGCGGCAGGCCUAACACAUGCAAGUCGAACGAACCUUUCGGGGUUAGUGGCGGACGGGAGAGUAACACGUGGGAACGUGCCUUUAGGUUCGGAAUAACUCAGGGAAACUUGUGCUAAUACCGAAUGUGCCCUUCGGGGGAAAGAUUUAUCGCCUUUAGAGCGGCCCGCGUCUGAUUAGCUAGUUGGUUGAGGUAAUGGCUCACCAAGGCGACGAUCAGUAGCUGGUCUGAGAGGAUGAUCAGCCACAUUGGGACUGAGACACGGCCCAAACUCCUACGGGAGGCAGCAGUGGGGAAUCUUGCGCAAUGGGCGAAAGCCUGACGCAGCCAUGCCGCGUGAAUGAUGAAGGUCUUAGGAUUGUAAAAUUCUUUCACCGGGGACGAUAAUGACGGUACCCGGAGAAGAAGCCCCGGCUAACUUCGUG